RNAcentral lists this ribosomal RNA (522 nucleotides) under uncultured bacterium. RNAcentral describes it as "bacterial SSU rRNA". It matches the Rfam family "Bacterial small subunit ribosomal RNA", at positions 987 to 1509 of the family's 1533-position model. The record is from RNAcentral.
UCCAGAGAACUUGGCAGAGAUGCCUUGGUGCCUUCGGGACCUCUGAGACAGGUGCUGCAUGGCUGUCGUCAGCUCGUGUUGUGAAAUGUUGGGUUAAGUCCCGNAACGAGCGCAACCCCUAUCCUUUGUUGCCAGCGAUUCGGUCGGGAACUCAAAGGAGACUGCCGGUGAUAAACCGGAGGAAGGUGGGGAUGACGUCAAGUCAUCAUGGCCCUUACGAGUAGGGCUACACACGUGCUACAAUGGCGCAUACAAAGAGAAGCGACCUCGCGAGAGCAAGCGGACCUCAUAAAGUGCGUCGUAGUCCGGAUCGGAGUCUGCAACUCGACUCCGUGAAGUCGGAAUCGCUAGUAAUCGUAGAUCAGAAUGCUACGGUGAAUACGUUCCCGGGCCUUGUACACACCGCCCGUCACACCAUGGGAGUGGGUUGCAAAAGAAGUAGAUAGCUUAACCUUCGGGAGGGCGUUUACCACUUUGUGAUUCAUGACUGGGGUGAAGUCGUAACAAGGUAAGCGUAGCGAG